UACGUAGGGUGCAAGCGUUAAUCGGAAUUACUGGGCGUAAAGCGUGCGCAGGCGGUUUUGUAAGUCUGACGUGAAAUCCCCGGGCUCAACCUGGGAAUUGCGUUGGAGACUGCAAGGCUAGAAUCUGGCAGAGGGGGGUAGAAUUCCACGUGUAGCAGUGAAAUGCGUAGAGAUGUGGAGGAAUACCGAUGGCGAAGGCAGCCCCCUGGGAUAACACUGACGCUCAUGCACGAAAGCGUGGGGAGCAAACAGG
RNAcentral lists this ribosomal RNA (253 nucleotides) under uncultured bacterium. Its description in RNAcentral is "partial 16S ribosomal RNA". It matches the Rfam family "Bacterial small subunit ribosomal RNA", at positions 524 to 776 of the family's 1533-position model. The record is from RNAcentral.